ACUACGGGUGGCAGCAGUGGGGAAUAUUGCGCAAUGGGGGCAACCCUGACGCAGCAACGCCGCGUGAGUGAAGAAGGACUUCGGGGUGUAAAGAUCUGUAAGCGGGGACGAAACUGGAGGGAACCCGAAAAAUAACCCCCGGCUAACUACUGCCCAGCAGCCGCGGUAAAAGGUAGGGAGCAAGCGUUAUCCGGAUUUACUGGGGGUAAAGGGGGGGAAAGCGGGUCUGAAAGCCAGAAGUGAAAUCUGGGGGCUUAACCCCCAAACUGCUUUUGGAACGGCGGGUCUUGAGUGCGGGGGAGGCAGGCGGAAUUCCCGGUGUAGCGGUGAAAUGCGUAGAUAUUAGGAGGAACCCCAGUGGCGAAGGCGGCCUGCUGGACAUUAACUGACGCUGAGGCGCGAAAGCGUGGGGAGCAAACAGGAUUAGAUACCCUUGUAGUC
This 441-nucleotide ribosomal RNA is filed under the name uncultured bacterium. Its description in RNAcentral is "partial 16S ribosomal RNA". It matches the Rfam family "Bacterial small subunit ribosomal RNA", at positions 338 to 795 of the family's 1533-position model. The record is from RNAcentral.